CAUCUUUUGUUUAAUAAUAAUAAUAAUAAUCAGUAACUUUGUUUUACACGACGAACAAGCAGGAUCUCAACUUAAAGCGCAUAGACACUAAAACGUUGGCUGCGAACCGGAAACUUGCAUGCAGGAGGAAACUCUCCAAGAAUUGUCCUGGCAUUUGCAUAUGAUGUCAAGUUGAAGUCAAAAAAUGGAUGGUUUAUUUAGAUUGUCUCCAUAUCUAAUCUUGUACAUUUAUUGAGCAUGCAGAAAUUCGGGCCAAAGAUGGUACAUAUGCUGUGAAUUGUGUGUUGAUGUUUCUAGAGUAACUUAGACUUGUGAGUUUAUAGUAUUUUCUAAUUGACAUGUAAUAUUCAAGUGUUCAAUUUAAUUUCUAGAUAUUACUCUUGAAAACUUAUGUAUCGACAAUGUAAAAAACUUACAUAAAUUUAUGCUCGUUUAAUUAGAUAUUACUCUCUUCUUCCCUAAUCGUGAUAAACUUACGAGGAGGGUAGUGCGAUCAAAUAUAAUGUAUGUAUGCGCACAAGUUGGCAGGGAGUGUUGAUAGUCUUUGAUUUCCCUUACAAUUAGCAAUAGAAUCAUAUUAUAAUUAUGAAUAUUGAUCCUUAAAACUCAGGUAUUUGGGUUCUAAAAUGUUAAUAAGUUAGCAUUAUAAAUUUGCUGAGAGGGUUUCUCUCAAUCGAUAAUUCUUUGAUUUAGUUAGUUAGACUACGCAAUGUAUCUAGGCCAUUAUUUAUUUACAUGAUAUUGAUCUCAACACAACAUCCUGCAUUCAAAUGUUUGGAAACAAAUGUAAGAAAAUGCGACAUGUGUUAGAGCCAUGAGUGCAAGCACAGAACAUAAAAGGUGUUUCUCGAGAUCCCUAAUUAUCAAGCGUGACUUGAUUGAUAUUCCGCUGUUUGGAUUGAGCAUAAACACUCGUGAGACUGUUUUCGAAAACUUAUGAAAAUAACUUAUGACAUGUUCAUAAAAUGUUUUCAGCUUAUUUUUAUAAGCCAUUGAAGAUAAUAUAUAUUUAUAAGCUAAAUUAAAACUUAGCUCUAGAAUCCAAUAAUGAAUGGAUUAACAUUCUGGUUCUCAAUAAUGAAGGAUUGAACAAUUUAAGGGAAAAAUAGAGAAAAGGUUGGAAAAUGAAGUAAGUAACCUGUUAACGAGGCUUGCAGCAACAGCAUAAGGAAUUUGUUCAGCCAUCCUUCAAAAAGAAAAUACUACAAAUUAAACAAAUUGAAGAUUGAAAAAAGUUUGAGAGUGGCAAUGAAUAACAGGAAGGGAGGAAUAGUGAGCAAAUCAGAAGCCUUAAGUCGUCCCUUUAUCUGCACGUUGCUGCACUCUC
Molecule: long non-coding RNA, 1327 nt
Filed under: Medicago truncatula (barrel medic)
Lineage: Eukaryota; Viridiplantae; Streptophyta; Magnoliopsida; Fabales; Fabaceae
Description: long non-coding RNA (MTRU_LNC005846)
Source: RNAcentral